UGUCAGAUGUGGGGUUCGAACCCACACCCUUAUUAGAGGACCAGAACUUAAGUCUGGCGCCUUAGACCACUCGGCCAAUCUGAC
This 84-nucleotide transfer RNA is filed under the name Cordylochernes scorpioides. RNAcentral describes it as "tRNA-Leu". The record is from RNAcentral. Lineage: Eukaryota; Metazoa; Arthropoda; Arachnida; Pseudoscorpiones; Chernetidae.